UUGAACGCUGGCGGCAUGCCUUACACAUGCAAGUCGAACGGUAACAGGGAGCUUGCUCCGCUGACGAGUGGCGAACGGGUGAGUAAUGUAUCGGAACGUACCAUUCAGUGGGGGAUAACGUAGCGAAAGUUACGCUAAUACCGCAUAUUCUGUGAGCAGGAAAGCAGGGGAUCGCAAGACCUUGCGCUGAUUGAGCGGCCGAUAUCAGAUUAGCUAGUUGGUGAGGUAAAAGCUCACCAAGGCGACGAUCUGUAGCGGGUCUGAGAGGAUGAUCCGCCACACUGGAACUGAGACACGGUCCAGACUCCUACGGGAGGCAGCAGUGGGGAAUUUUGGACAAUGGGGGCAACCCUGAUCCAGCCAUGCCGCGUGAGUGAAGAAGGCCUUCGGGUUGUAAAGCUCUUUCAGCCGGGAAGAAAACGCAUGGGUUAAUACCCUGUGUGGAUGACGGUACCGGAAUAAGAAGCACCGGCUAACUACGU
RNAcentral lists this ribosomal RNA (482 nucleotides) under uncultured bacterium. RNAcentral's name for it is "bacterial SSU rRNA". It matches the Rfam family "Bacterial small subunit ribosomal RNA", at positions 30 to 506 of the family's 1533-position model. The record is from RNAcentral.